Molecule: ribosomal RNA, 1577 nt
Filed under: Bradypus torquatus (Maned three-toed sloth)
Lineage: Eukaryota; Metazoa; Chordata; Mammalia; Pilosa; Bradypodidae
Description: 16S ribosomal RNA
Rfam family: Bacterial large subunit ribosomal RNA
Source: RNAcentral
GCCAAACCUAGCCCUACACAACCCCUAACCCAACUACCAACACCACCAAAAUAACCAAACCAUUUACAUCCAUAAAAGUAUAUGUGAUAGAAAUUAUUAACAGGCGCUAUAGAGAAAGUACCGCAAGGGAAAGAUGAAAGAAUAACUAACAGCACGAAAUAGCAAAGACCAACCCUUUUACCUUUCGCAUAAUGAAUUAACUAGAAUAACCUUUGCAAAGAGUCCUUUAGUCAAAAACCCCGAACCCAGACGAGCUACCUGCGGACAGUACAAAGAACCAAUUCAUCUAUGUCGCAAAAUAGUGAAAAGAUCUUCAGGUAGAGGUGAAAAGCCAACCGAGCCUGGCGAUAGCUGGUUGUCCAAAAACUGAAUUUAAGUUCAACUUAAAAUUUACCCAAAGAACAUAAUAUCUAAUCUCAACAUAAAUUUUAAAUAUAGUCAACAGAGGUACAGCUCUAUUGACAAGGAAUAAGCCCCAUUUAGAGAGUAAUUUUUUACCUCCCUCCAUAGUAGGCCUAAAAGCAGCCAUCAACAAAGAAAGCGUCCAAGCUCAAUUAGACAACAACCCCAAAAAUCCCAGAAAUAAUUCUCAACUCCUAAUUUACCAUUGGACUAAUCUAUGAUAUAGAAGAAAUAAUGUUAAUAUAAGUAACAAGAAUAAAUUUCUCCACGCACAAACCUAUAUCAGAACGGACUCACCACUGAUAAUUAACAGCCAGACUUUUAUACAUCACCAAAUAUUUUUAAGUCACAACUCACUGUUAACCCAACACAGGAAUGCAUACUGGAAAGAUUUAAAGAAGUAGAAGGAACUCGGCAAACAUGAAUCCCGCCUGUUUACCAAAAACAUCACCUCUAGCAUAAUAAUUAUUAGAGGCACUGCCUGCCCAGUGACACACAUUCAACGGCCGCGGUACCCUAACCGUGCAAAGGUAGCAUAAUCAUUUGUUCUUUAAUUAAGGACUUGUAUGAAAGGCCCAACGAGGAUUUUACUGUCUCCCACUUCCAAUCAGUGAAAUUGACCCCCCUGUGAAGAGGCAGGGAUGACCCCAUAAGACGAGAAGACCCUACGGAACUUCAAUUAACUGGCCUAACCAUAACCCACAUAAACCAACAGGAACAACCCCCCACAACCUAGACCAACAAUUUCGGUUGGGGCGACCUUGGAGUACAAAAAACCCUCCAAACAACCACACACUUAGACUUUACCAGUCAACGUACCUCAAAACUAACCCAAUUGACCCAAGCAAUUGAUCAACGGAACAAGCUACCCUAGGGAUAACAGCGCAAUCCUAUUUCAGAGUCCAUAUCGACAAUAGGGUUUACGACCUCGAUGUUGGAUCAGGACAUCCUAAUGGCGCAACCGCUAUUAAAGGCUCGUUUGUUCAACGAUUAAAGUCCUACGUGAUCUGAGUUCAGACCGGAGUAAUCCAGGUCGGUUUCUAUCUAUAAAUCUUUUCUCCCAGUACGAAAGGACAAGAGAAACUGGGCCCACUCAACAAAAGCGCCCUAAAGCCAAACAAAUGACUUAAUCUAAAUUUGGUCAGCCCCCGACAACCAACCCAAGACCAGGGUUU